RNAcentral lists this ribosomal RNA (615 nucleotides) under Vibrio cyclitrophicus. RNAcentral describes it as "bacterial LSU rRNA". It matches the Rfam family "Bacterial large subunit ribosomal RNA", at positions 1231 to 1829 of the family's 2925-position model. The record is from RNAcentral. Lineage: Bacteria; Pseudomonadati; Pseudomonadota; Gammaproteobacteria; Vibrionales; Vibrionaceae.
GGGGAGCGUUCUGUAAGCCGUUGAAGGUGGUCUGUAAGGGCUGCUGGAGGUAUCAGAAGUGCGAAUGCUGACAUGAGUAACGAUAAAGGGAGUGAAAAACUCCCUCGCCGGAAGACCAAGGGUUCCUGUCCAACGUUAAUCGGGGCAGGGUAAGUCGACUCCUAAGGCGAGGCCGAAAGGCGUAGUCGAUGGGAAACGGGUUAAUAUUCCCGUACUUCUUACAAUUGCGAUGGGGGGACGGAGAAGGCUAGGUGGGCCUGGCGACGGUUGUCCAGGUUCAAGUACGUAGGCGGAUGGUUUAGGUAAAUCCGGACCAUUACUAACGCUGAGAUACGAUGUCGAGCUACUACGGUAGUGAAGUCAUUGAUGCCAUGCUUCCAGGAAAAGCCUCUAAGCUUCAGAUUGUAAGGAAUCGUACCCCAAACCGACACAGGUGGUCGGGUAGAGAAUACCAAGGCGCUUGAGAGAACUCGGGUGAAGGAACUAGGCAAAAUGGUACCGUAACUUCGGGAGAAGGUACGCUCUUAUCAGUGAAGUCCCUUGCGGAUGGAGCAGACGAGAGUCGCAGAUACCAGGUGGCUGCAACUGUUUAUUAAAAACACAGCACUGUGCAAA